AGGACGAACGCUGGCGGCGUGCUUAACACAUGCAAGUCGAACGGAAAGGCCCGCUUGCGGGUACUCGAGUGGCGAACGGGUGAGUAACACGUGGGCAACCUGCCCUCAGCUCUGGGAUAACUCCGGGAAAACCGGUGCUAAUACUGGAUAUCGACUUCUGCCUCGCAUGGGUGUCGUUGAAAGUUUUUCGGCUGGGGAUGGGCCCGCGGCCUAUCAGCUUGUUGGUGGGUGAUGGCCUACCAAGGCGACGAC
This 252-nucleotide ribosomal RNA is filed under the name uncultured bacterium. Its description in RNAcentral is "partial small subunit ribosomal RNA". It matches the Rfam family "Bacterial small subunit ribosomal RNA", at positions 26 to 280 of the family's 1533-position model. The record is from RNAcentral.